Molecule: small nuclear RNA, 102 nt
Organism: Schistocerca piceifrons (Central American locust)
Lineage: Eukaryota; Metazoa; Arthropoda; Insecta; Orthoptera; Acrididae
Source: RefSeq, a predicted model, not a curated record
GUUGGUAUGUCUGGCCUUCAAAAGUGAAGAAUGAUACAGACAAGAUCAGCAUGGUCCCUGCACAAGGUUGGCAUGCAAAAUCAUGAAGCAUUCCACAUUUUU